UACAGAGGGUGCAAGCGUUAUCCGGAUUUACUGGGCGUAAAGGGCGCGUAGGCGGCCACCGCAAGUCGACUGUGAAAUCUCCGGGCUUAACCCGGAAAGGUCAGCCGAUACUGCGGGGCUAGAGUGCAGAAGGGGCAACUGGAAUUCUCGGUGUAGCGGUGAAAUGCGUAGAUAUCAAGAGGAACACCUGAGGUGAAGACGGGUUGCUGGGCCGACACUGACGCUGACAGCGCGAAAGCCAGGGGAGCAAACGGG
RNAcentral lists this ribosomal RNA (255 nucleotides) under uncultured bacterium. RNAcentral describes it as "partial 16S ribosomal RNA". It matches the Rfam family "Bacterial small subunit ribosomal RNA", at positions 524 to 776 of the family's 1533-position model. The record is from RNAcentral.